Molecule: long non-coding RNA, 521 nt
Organism: Pseudoliparis swirei
Lineage: Eukaryota; Metazoa; Chordata; Actinopteri; Perciformes; Liparidae
Exons: 5
Source: RefSeq, a predicted model, not a curated record
UCCAUGUUAUGCCUAAUAUUCUCACUAACGUUAUGGUGCAUGUUUAUUUGUUCUCUCCCCAGGUGCAGACCAAGGAGGUGGAGUAGCAGCCAUCUUUGACUGGAGCCUUUUAAUAAAUCCUAAACCUUAUUUGUCUCACACCCAACCUGGGAACCAGUUUUGUAGCUCAGCCCCACGUGUUACUCUUUUCUCAGGCUGUUGGAGUGAAAUACAGAGAUCGACAAAAAUACCUGUUUGGAGGGCCAAGUUACCUACAAGUCGUUUUUGGAAUGUGCUUCCAAGAAGUUCAGCAUCCCAACCUUGGACAACACAAAACCUAGGUCAUCCAGUUUGAUCCUGCUGCCACCACCUCAUGAGACCAGGAAAGCUAUCUGCCAGUGAAGUUCAUCAAGAUGGGGACCAGCAUCCUGACAGCCAUACCUGCUUGCAGUGGGAACUCGGAGGAAUGUGAUUCACUGUCAAAUAUGCAUAUUUUUGAAAUGUUUCAUUUGUAUGUAAUAAAAUUCAUUGUUCCAUUUGAA